AUACGUAGGUGACAAGCGUUAUCCGGAUUUACUGGGCGUAAAGGGCGUGUAGGCGGUCUUGCAAGUCAGAAGUGAAAUUCCUGAGCUCAACUCGGGCGCUGCUUCUGAAACUGCAGGACUUGAGUGCUGGAGGGGAUAGCGGAAUUCCUAGUGGAGCGGUAAAAUGCGCAGAUAUUAGGAAGAACACCGGUGGCGAAGGCGGCUAUCUGGACAGUAACUGACGCUGAGGCGCGAAAGCGGGGGGAGCAAACAGGAUUAGAUACCCUGGUAGUCCACGCCGUAAACGAUGACAACUAAAUAUUGCCGCGAGGCAGUGUUGAAGCUAACGCAUUAAGUUGUCCGCCUGGGGAGUACUGUCGCAAGACUGAAACUUAAAGGAAUUGACGGGG
This 389-nucleotide ribosomal RNA is filed under the name uncultured bacterium. RNAcentral describes it as "partial 16S ribosomal RNA". It matches the Rfam family "Bacterial small subunit ribosomal RNA", at positions 523 to 918 of the family's 1533-position model. The record is from RNAcentral.